UCCGAUUCAUCACCGGCAGUCUCCUUAGAGUCCCCGACUUUACUCGCUGGUAACUAAGGAUAAGGGUUGCGCUCGUUACGGGACUUAACCCAACAUCUCACAACACGAGCUGACGACAGCCAUGCAGCACCUGUCUCUACGCUCCUUUCGGCACUCCAGCCUCUCAGCCAGAUUCGCAGGAUGUCAAGAGUAGGUAAGGUUCUUCGCGUUGCAUCGAAUUAAACCACAUGCUCCACCGCUUGUGCGGGCCCCCGUCAAUUCCUUUGAGUUUCAACCUUGCGGCCGUACUUCCCAGGCGGAAGACUUAUCGCGUUAGCUUCAAUACAGAAUGGUCGCCCAUCCCACAUUUAGUCCUCAUCGUUUACAGCGUGGACUAC
Molecule: unclassified non-coding RNA, 377 nt
Filed under: uncultured Gammaproteobacteria bacterium
Lineage: Bacteria; Pseudomonadati; Pseudomonadota; Gammaproteobacteria
Description: contains 16S-23S intergenic spacer region
Source: RNAcentral